AUGUAUGUAUACUUACUAAUAAUUAUUUAAGACUUCAUUUUAGAAGAUCUUAAAUA
Molecule: transfer RNA, 56 nt
Filed under: Dracunculus medinensis (Guinea worm)
Lineage: Eukaryota; Metazoa; Nematoda; Chromadorea; Rhabditida; Dracunculidae
Description: tRNA-Glu
Source: RNAcentral